Non-coding RNA from Malus domestica (apple), 2138 nucleotides. Lineage: Eukaryota; Viridiplantae; Streptophyta; Magnoliopsida; Rosales; Rosaceae. The record is from RefSeq and is a predicted model, not a curated record.
ACGGGGGUAAAAUUAGGCGCUGGAAUUUUCAAUCGUCCAGACAACUCUCUUUCACUCGGUCUCUCGCUUCCCUCUCUCUCACUCCGAUCGUCUUUGGCUUCCUUCAUCUGCCACUUCCUCGAGUGAUUUUCAAAGACGCCGGACAUCCACCUCAUGCAAUACAGUGCACGAGGAAUUCCUCGCCGUUACCCACCCAUCGUUAGACGAAGACAAAGGAAUCUGUGUUUGCUUUAAUCCUAAAUUAGGGUUUUAUUUGAAGGCUCUGUGUAUAUUGAAAGCUCUGGUUGCAAAUCUGUGAUUUUUUUAAUUGGUUGCGGGGAAAAUGCAAAGGUAACUGGGCUCAGGAAAAUGGUAUGAAGGAAAGCUCUGAAAUUAGAUAUUGCUAUUAUUAUGUGCUAGAAACUACAGUACCCUUUCGUCCCUCAUCCGCACACUUUUUACAGCUGCUUAUUAAUCACUUAUUAAUAACUUAACAUGCUUAGCAAACCACUCCUCUGCACACUUUUUACAGCUGCUUAUUAAUCACAUAUUAGUAACUUAACAUGCUUAGCAAACCACUCCUCUGCACACUUUUUACAGCUGCUUCAUCUUCAACAUUGUACCUCAUGGUCCAACUUUUGGAAGUAUCUUCACAUAGCUUGUUUUAGUUUUCAGACUACAUGCUAAUUAAUGUAAGAUAGAACUUGUGGAAAGUGGCUUGAUCUUGUGCAUAUUUAGCAUAAGCAGAACCCUUGCAAAUGAUGGCAUAUAAUUAUUAGUACAAAGAUGCAACUCUUCUGGUGUGAUUUGAUUACUUACUAGCGUAACUGAACUGGCGAUGAUGGGGUUAAUUAGGCUUUGUUGUCUUGUCAAGUUGGCCAAAGGAAUUUGUAAUCCUUUUAGAAAAACAUAUGUAUAUAAUAUAAUACAUGUAAGAGAAUUAGUGCAUUCCUAUAACAAGUUGGAGAUGGACUGGAACCAAAAGUUGUUAUGUUCCACUACGAGAAAAAAGAAAUGUAUAACCAAACUCUGUAAAGCAAGCAAAUGAAAAUUACUAAAUGAGAAUUUGAAAAUAAUAAAUAAUGAUAAGAAUUUGAAAAUUACUAAAUGAGAAUUUGAAAAUAAUAAAUGAGAAUUUGCAAUGCGCCUAUGUCGUAAGAUACACUUUUAGGAUUAAUAAUUGGAUUAAGGCAGAUUUCCAUUAUAUAAAUCAUGUACCAAUUGCCAACUAGGACGACCUUUUAUGCUUUCAAACUUUCUCUCUACCUUAGCUAGCUAGCUAUGAACUUGAUGAUAUUAUCAUGAUGUCAAUCAAUUUAAUCAUUGAAUUACUGCUUUUAUUUGAAAUGGUAGCUACAAGCCAAACUUGAUGAUAUUAUCAUGAUGUCGAUCAAUUUAAUCAUUCCAUGUAGUUAAGCUUUCAAUUUGCUUUUAGAACUAUUAAAUGUAAUGAACUUUGGUAUUGCCUUUGUUACCUUAAUCUGUAUAUUGCCUUUGUUUCCUAUAUCUUCUCUGCAACCUAUUGGAGUCUAAGUGAGAAAGCAGCUCAUUUAGAACAAAGAAGGUGCGCUUUACCACAAGGAUAUUUGUCUUGCAAAGUAAUACUUUCCCAUCCAAAAGUUUGAUGUCGCAGUUGAUCACUUGUUGUCGGAGUGUGACUAAUGCGCCUCCUGCAUUAUCAGCAUCUACUGCUCCAGGCGUGAGUGCUCCAUUGAUUGGGGAGCCUACACCCCUUACUGAGGCUGCUCCUAUGGCGUCCUAGGUGCCCAUAUCAUCGACGUCAUCAGUGUCGGUUCAAUUGCUCAGUGCAUGGCGGCCUUAUCGGCACUGUCGUGAGCCGGAGCCUUUUGAUCACACUUCCUCGACAUUCAGAGUCAAGGGUGGGGCCUCCCAGCCAGCUAAAAGAAACACCAGGGGGCCUAAUCGAAUGCUGAAGCCGGCAUAGAGCGUAUGUUUGUCCGCCUCCUUGAUGAAGAUUGCGUAUGACUCGCGACAUCGUGGAGUGGCUACCUCAUAGCAGCAUAGCAGCGUCGCUACUAGCUGUGGUUAUGUUAUUCAAACAUUGUUGUCCUGUGCAAUUGUAGUUUUUUCUUUUUUGUUCAGACAUAUUGUAUGUACAUUUUCAUAUAUUUUAUAAUUAAAUACUUUUUCUUGGUUUA